ACUAAGCGUACACGGUGGAUGCCCUGGCAGUCAGAGGCGAUGAAGGGCGUGCUAAUCUGCGAUAAGCGCCGGUAAGGUGAUAUGAACCGUUAUAACCGGCGAUACCCGAAUGGGGAAACCCAGUGUGACUCGUCACACUAUCAUUAACUGAAUCCAUAGGUUAAUGAGGCGAACCGGGGGAACUGAAACAUCUAAGUACCCCGAGGAAAAGAAAUCAACCGAGAUUCCCCCAGUAGCGGCGAGCGAACGGGGAGGAGCCCAGAGCCUGAAUCAGCAUGUGUGUUAGUGGAAGCGUCUGGAAAGGCGCGCGAUACAGGGUGACAGCCCCGUACACAAAAGCGCAUGUGCUGUGAGCUCGAUGAGUAGGGCGGGACACGUGGUAUCCUGUCUGAAUAUGGGGGGACCAUCCUCCAAGGCUAAAUACUCCUGACUGACCGAUAGUGAACCAGUACCGUGAGGGAAAGGCGAAAAGAACCCCGGCGAGGGGAGUGAAAAAGAACCUGAAACCGUGUACGUACAAGCAGUGGGAGCNGCUUUGGGGUGGGGUGACUGCGUACCUUUUGUAUAAUGGGUCAGCGACUUAUAUUCUGUAGCAAGGUUAACCGAAUAGGGGAGCCGGAGGGAAACCGAGUCUUAAUUGGGCGUUAAGUUGCAGGGUAUAGACCCGAAACCCGGUGAUCUAGCCAUGGGCAGGUUGAAGGUUGGGUAACACUAACUGGAGGACCGAACCGACUAAUGUUGAAAAAUUAGCGGAUGACCUGUGGCUGGGGGUGAAAGGCCAAUCAAACCGGGAGAUAGCUGGUUCUCCCCGAAAGCUAUUUAGGUAGCGCCUCGUGAAUUCAUCUCCGGGGGUAGAGCACUGUUUCGGCUAGGGGGCCAUCCCGGCUUACCAACCCGAUGCAAACUGCGAAUACCGGAGAAUGUUAUCACGGGAGACACACGGCGGGUGCUAACGUCCGUCGUGAAGAGGGAAACAACCCAGACCGCCAGCUAAGGUCCCAAAGUCAUGGUUAAGUGGGAAACGAUGUGGGAAGGCCCAGACAGCCAGGAUGUUGGCUUAGAAGCAGCCAUCAUUUAAAGAAAGCGUAAUAGCUCACUGGUCGAGUCGGCCUGCGCGGAAGAUGUAACGGGGCUAAACCAUGCACCGAAGCUGCGGCAGCGACGCUUAUGCGUUGUUGGGUAGGGGAGCGUUCUGUAAGCCUGUGAAGGUGGCCUGUGAGGGUUGCUGGAGGUAUCAGAAGUGCGAAUGCUGACAUAAGUAACGAUAAAGCGGGUGAAAAGCCCGCUCGCCGGAAGACCAAGGGUUCCUGUCCAACGUUAAUCGGGGCAGGGUGAGUCGACCCCUAAGGCGAGGCCGAAAGGCGUAGUCGAUGGGAAACGGGUUAAUAUUCCCGUACUUGGUGUUACUGCGAAGGGGGGACGGAGAAGGCUAUGUUGGCCGGGCGACGGUUGUCCCGGUUUAAGCGUGUAGGUGUGUGUUCCAGGUAAAUCCGGUUCACUUUAACACUGAGGCGUGACGACGAGGCACUACGGUGCUGAAGCAACAAAUGCCCUGCUUCCAGGAAAAGCCUCUAAGCAUCAGGUAACAUCAAAUCGUACCCCAAACCGACACAGGUGGUCAGGUAGAGAAUACCAAGGCGCUUGAGAGAACUCGGGUGAAGGAACUAGGCAAAAUGGUGCCGUAACUUCGGGAGAAGGCACGCUGACACGUAGGUGAAGUGAUUUACUCAUGGAGCUGAAGUCAGUCGAAGAUACCAGCUGGCUGCAACUGUUUAUUAAAAACACAGCACUGUGCAAACACGAAAGUGGACGUAUACGGUGUGACGCCUGCCCGGUGCCGGAAGGUUAAUUGAUGGGGUCAGCGCAAGCGAAGCUCCUGAUCGAAGCCCCGGUAAACGGCGGCCGUAACUAUAACGGUCCUAAGGUAGCGAAAUUCCUUGUCGGGUAAGUUCCGACCUGCACGAAUGGCGUAAUGAUGGCCAGGCUGUCUCCACCCGAGACUCAGUGAAAUUGAACUCGCUGUGAAGAUGCAGUGUACCCGCGGCAAGACGGAAAGACCCCGUGAACCUUUACUAUAGCUUGACACUGAACAUUGAGCCUUGAUGUGUAGGAUAGGUGGGAGGCUUUGAAGUGUGGACGCCAGUCUGCAUGGAGCCGACCUUGAAAUACCACCCUUUAAUGUUUGAUGUUCUAACGUGGACCCGUGAUCCGGGUUGCGGACAGUGUCUGGUGGGUAGUUUGACUGGGGCGGUCUCCUCCUAAAGAGUAACGGAGGAGCACGAAGGUUGGCUAAUCCUGGUCGGACAUCAGGAGGUUAGUGCAAUGGCAUAAGCCAGCUUGACUGCGAGCGUGACGGCGCGAGCAGGUGCGAAAGCAGGUCAUAGUGAUCCGGUGGUUCUGAAUGGAAGGGCCAUCGCUCAACGGAUAAAAGGUACUCCGGGGAUAACAGGCUGAUACCGCCCAAGAGUUCAUAUCGACGGCGGUGUUUGGCACCUCGAUGUCGGCUCAUCACAUCCUGGGGCUGAAGUAGGUCCCAAGGGUAUGGCUGUUCGCCAUUUAAAGUGGUACGCGAGCUGGGUUUAGAACGUCGUGAGACAGUUCGGUCCCUAUCUGCCGUGGGCGCUGGAGAACUGAGGGGGGCUGCUCCUAGUACGAGAGGACCGGAGUGGACGCAUCACUGGUGUUCGGGUUGUCAUGCCAAUGGCACUGCCCGGUAGCUAAAUGCGGAAGAGAUAAGUGCUGAAAGCAUCUAAGCACGAAACUUGCCCCGAGAUGAGUUCUCCCUGAGACUUAGAGUCUCCUGAAGGAACGUUGAAGACGACGACGUUGAUAGGCCGGGUGUGUAAGCGCAGCGAUGCGUUGAGCUAACCGGUACUAAUGAACCGUGAGGCUUAACC
Molecule: ribosomal RNA, 2897 nt
Filed under: Salmonella enterica subsp. enterica serovar Weltevreden
Lineage: Bacteria; Pseudomonadati; Pseudomonadota; Gammaproteobacteria; Enterobacterales; Enterobacteriaceae
Description: bacterial LSU rRNA
Rfam family: Bacterial large subunit ribosomal RNA
Source: RNAcentral